Molecule: transfer RNA, 85 nt
Filed under: Ecytonucleospora hepatopenaei
Lineage: Eukaryota; Fungi; Microsporidia; Enterocytozoonidae
Description: Enterocytozoon sp. ST-2009a tRNA
Rfam family: tRNA
About the family: Transfer RNA (tRNA) molecules are approximately 80 nucleotides in length. Their secondary structure includes four short double-helical elements and three loops (D, anti-codon, and T loops). Further hydrogen bonds mediate the characteristic L-shaped molecular structure. tRNAs have two regions of fundamental functional importance: the anti-codon, which is responsible for specific mRNA codon recognition, and the 3' end, to which the tRNAs corresponding amino acid is attached (by aminoacyl-tRNA synthetases). tRNAs cope with the degeneracy of the genetic code in two manners: having more than one tRNA (with a specific anti-codon) for a particular amino acid; and 'wobble' base-pairing, i.e. permitting non-standard base-pairing at the 3rd anti-codon position.
Source: Rfam by way of RNAcentral
GACAGGAUGGCCGAGCGGUCCAAGGCGUCACGUUCAGGUCGUGAUCUCUUUUAAAGAGUCGCGAGUUCGAAUCUCGCUUCUGUUA